GCAUUAAUGGGGUAGUGGUAACCUGGGUCGUUGCCAAACAAUGAAUUGAAUCAUUCAAUUCGACCCGCCGGGGGUUCGAUUCCCUCUUAAUGCA
This is a non-coding RNA of Mycena filopes, 94 nucleotides long. NCBI's taxonomy places the organism in Eukaryota, Fungi, Basidiomycota, Agaricomycetes, Agaricales, Mycenaceae. The record is from the annotation of a GenBank genome assembly.